UUCCGGUUAAGAGAUUUAAAUACCGAAGCCUCACACAGCGACUCUAAAUCAACUGUGGAGUCUUACAUAGAUAAAGACAAUACCGCUGAAAUGCUGUGAUCACGAAAGUGUACCAGCAGCCUAAUCCAGGCCCACAGAUCAAGUGGCGGUGGUCUUAGCUACAGAGCUUUAGACUAUAAUAUGACCGGUUCUUAUCCUAACGGUUAAGAGCUUUAACGUUCCGUAGGUGAACCUGCGGAAGGAUCAUUAAAGAGUUAGGGUCUUCUAGGCUCGAUCUCCAACCCUUUGUAUAAAUACCAUGUUGCUUUGGCGGGCCCGUCUUUAACCGGACCGCCGGAGGUUAAAGCCUCUGGCCAGCGCCCGUCAGUAGCCCACAACAAAUUCUUUUAACCAUGUAUCUUCUGAAAAUAGUUAAAUAAACUAAAACUUUCAACAACGGAUCUCUUGGUUCUG
This 453-nucleotide unclassified non-coding RNA is filed under the name rhizosphere metagenome. Its description in RNAcentral is "partial ribosomal RNA internal transcribed spacer region". The record is from RNAcentral.